UUUUUCCUCCAAUGGUCUUCUCUCGACUCUUCCACUUCGCCGGAGUGAAUCUCUCUCGCCGUGUCUACUUCUUAAGAAUCUCUUCUUCUUCUUCUUCUUCACCGAGCUUGACUCUCGCAUCGAUUCAUAAAGCUUCAAACUUUACGCUUUACGGAUCAAUUCACGCUUCUUCUGUUCAAGCCCCUGAUGAUGUUACACAAGACGCCGAUAAAAUCUGCAAGACUCUGACCAAAUUCUCAGAUUCAAGCGUUGAAGUUUUACUAAACGAAGCUUCUGUUAAGCUUUCGCCGGGACUGAUCGAAGAAGUACUGAAGAAGCUGAGCAACGCUGGGGUUUUAGCUUUGUCUGUAUUCAAAUGGGCAGAGAAUCAAAAGGGUUUCAAGCAUACUACUUCGAGCUACAACGCUUUAAUCGAAUCAUUAGGUAAGAUCAAGCAAUUCAAACUAAUUUGGAGUUUAGUAGACGAUAUGAAACAGAGGAAGCUUUUGAGUAAAGACACGUUUGCGUUAAUCUCUAGACGUUACGCUAGAGCUAGGAAGGUUAAAGAAGCUAUAAAUGCGUUUCAUAAGAUGGAAGAGUAUGGGUUUAAGAUGGAAUCAAGUGAUUUCAAUCGAAUGCUUGAUACUUUGAGCAAAUCUAGAAACGUUGGGGAUGCACAGAAGGUGUUCGAUAAAAUUAAAAAGAAAAGGUUUGAGCCUGAUAUUAAGUCGUAUACUAUUUUACUUGAAGGUUGGGGUCAGGAGUUGAAUCUUUUGAGGGUUAAUGAGGUUUACGGAGAGAUGAGAGAUGAAGGUUUUGAACCUGACGUUGUUACUUAUGGUAUCAUUAUCAAUGCGCAUUGCAAGGCGAAAAAGUAUGAUGAAGCUGUUAGGUUCUUUAAUGAGAUGGAACAGAGGAAUUGUAAGCCAAGUCCUCACAUUUUUUGUAGUUUGAUCAAUGGACUUGGCUCUGAGAGGAAGCUGAAUGAUGCUCUUGAGUUUUUCGAGAGAUCAAAGAGUUCAGGGUAUCCUCUUGAAGCUCCUACUUACAAUGCACUAGUUGGAGCUUAUUGCUGGUCACAGCGAAUGGAAGAUGCAUUUAAAACCGUGGAAGAGAUGAGGUUGAAAGGGAUUGGUCCAAAUGCUCGAACUUAUGAUAUAAUUCUUCAUCAUUUGACUCGUAAGCAGCGGACCAAAGAAGCCUAUGAAGUUUACAAGAAGAUGAGUUGUGAACCGACUGUGAGUACUUAUGAGAUCAUGGUGAGGAUGUUCUGCAACGAAGAGAGAUUGGAUAUGGCGGUUAAAAUUUGGGAUGAGAUGAAAGGAAAAGGUGUUCUUCCUGGAAUGCAUAUGUUCUCGAGUUUGAUUACAGCUAUGUGCCAUGAGAACAAGUUAGAUGAAGCUUGUGAGUAUUUUAAUGAGAUGUUGGAUAUGGGUAUCAGGCCACCGGGACAAAUGUUUAGCCGUCUUAAACAAACGCUUCUAGAUGAAGGCCGUAAAGAUAAAGUUGUGGAUUUGGCUGUGAAGAUGGAUAGGCUGAGGAAAACACAACUUGUUGGCUGAAACGGGUUAAUGGCUAGCGAUCUAAGCAGUUAGAGAUUGUUUCUCCCAGAGCAAAAGUACAGCUGUAGGAACCGUGAUCAGUCACAAACUCACAAUAUUGAAAACACUACCAGAAGAUGAGAUGUUUUGGUGUAUGAAUUAAGUUCUGACAAAUGACAAGUCUAUGUUAUUAAACCAACAAGAAUGGUUCAUUGGCGUACCAACGUCGUUGUCGCGUCCGGAAGCGAGUUGCUUGCCGGUUUAUGAAGUCUUGAGAGAUCGGCUCUCACCAUGAUAGGAGGUGGUAGAUGUUACUUCGGUUUGGCCAUGGGCAUCCUUGGUAAAUCUCAUUCGUUGGUGCUUCAGAAGAAGGGUGUUUUGUUUUCUUUGUUCUACUGUUUCUUUUGAGGUUUUAUUGCCGGUUACCUUUGUUUUUAGUUUAAGGUAUCGUUUUCCUUCGUUUUUGGUUGUAGAAUUUCUGUUUAGCAGUUCUAUCUUUAGACUCUGGGGACAUAAAUGUUAUCCGCCGGCUUACUGGUUCUAGGGACAUCAAUGUCAUCCGCCGGCUUUAGCUUUGUAUUUCACCUU
Molecule: non-coding RNA, 2108 nt
Organism: Camelina sativa (false flax)
Lineage: Eukaryota; Viridiplantae; Streptophyta; Magnoliopsida; Brassicales; Brassicaceae
Source: RefSeq, a predicted model, not a curated record